CCAGCAGCUGCGGUAAUUCCAGCUCCAUGAGCGUAACUUAGCGUUGUUGCGGUUGAAAAGCUCGUAGUCCGAAUUUGAUGGUUCUCUUCGCACGGUCUGCCGUUAGGUCUGAACGGCGAAAAACCAUCUUUGUCCGUACGUGUAGGCUUGCUCUUAGUUGAGGGAGCCUAGUUCACUGCGGACCUCAUACUGUGAACAAAUCAGAGCGCUCAAAGCAGGCUUACGCUUGAAUGUGUUAGCAUGGCAUAUCAGAAGACGGCGGCUGUCGGUGAUCAAAGGCCGGUGGUUGCAAUGAUCAAUGGGAAUGUUUGGGGCCGUCGGUACUGUUGGGCGAGCGGUGAAAUGUGUCGACCCUAGCAAGACCAUCAGAGGCAAAGGCUGUCGGCUAGCUCAUUUCCGUCGAUCAAG
This 408-nucleotide ribosomal RNA is filed under the name uncultured eukaryote. Its description in RNAcentral is "SSU rRNA". It matches the Rfam family "Eukaryotic small subunit ribosomal RNA", at positions 567 to 981 of the family's 1831-position model. The record is from RNAcentral.